Molecule: non-coding RNA, 453 nt
Organism: Vicia faba (fava bean)
Lineage: Eukaryota; Viridiplantae; Streptophyta; Magnoliopsida; Fabales; Fabaceae
Source: the annotation of a GenBank genome assembly
AAGAAUCUGGUUGAGAAAGAAGCUCAGAAACAUAUAUGUUGUUCACGAACAGACAGUGGAGGAGAAUUCACCUCAAACAAGUUCAAUCAGUUAUGCCAAGAGAAUGGAAUUAAACGGCAAUUAACAGUCGCUUUCACACCACAACAAAAUGGGGUAGCCGAACGAAGAAAUCGAACAAUUAUGAAUAUGGUGCGCUGCUUACUUACGGAGAAAGAGAUGCCAAAGACCUUAUGGACAGAAGCUGUAAAGUGGAUAAAUCAUGUGAUUAACAAAAGCCUUACCAAAGCAGUAAAGGAAAUGGUACCAGAAGAAAGAUGGAGUGGACUGAAACCUAGAGUUGACUAUUUUAGGGUGUUCGGAUCCAUUGCACAUGUGCAUAUACAUGGGCAGAAGAGAACUAAACUUGACGACAGAAGUCAUAAAUGUGUCCUAAUUGGUGUGAGUGACGAAUAA